RNAcentral lists this ribosomal RNA (589 nucleotides) under Venezillo sp. RNAcentral's name for it is "partial large subunit ribosomal RNA". It matches the Rfam family "Eukaryotic large subunit ribosomal RNA", at positions 658 to 894 of the family's 3401-position model. The record is from RNAcentral. Lineage: Eukaryota; Metazoa; Arthropoda; Malacostraca; Isopoda; Armadillidae.
AACACGGACCAAGGAGUCUAGAGUGCGCGCGAGUCAAAGGGCUGGCUAAACCCAAAGGCGAAACGAAAGUGAUCUUUAAAGAAAAGGGCCGAUCCGGUUCGCGCGGGAGGGUUAAGGGACGUAGGUCGAGGAUGGGGUGCGCGCGGCGGCGGCUGCGGCGGCUUCGGUCGUCGUUUGUCGACGUCGCGUUCCCCCGCUUCGGUCUCUCCCUUAAUUCGCUCUCCCCGCGAUUUGUCUCCCUAAUAUGAGGACGGCGCAGGCCCGGGGCUCGCCAAUGCUUCCUCCUCGUCGUAAAUGCUCGGUCGUUCGUUUUCUCUCUCGUCGGGGCGCGCCGAGGCUUUUGAGGGCCCUCUUUCCGCUUCCGGUUACUCUCGUUCGUUUCGGCGGGCGAGGUGGUCGGCGACGGGGGAGUCAGCCGUUCGAGGGUUUCUCGUCGCGCGUCGCUUGCGAGGCGGCGGCCAGCCUGACGCGGGACGAGCGGCGGGUUCUCUGAGCGCGCAUUCUGGUACCCGAAAGAUGGUGAUCUAUGCCUGGCCAGGAUGAAGCCAGAGGAAACUCUGGUGGAGGCCUCGUAGCGAUUCUGACGUGC